CACUCUUGUUUCUCUUCAGAUCGCAUAAAUCUUUCACCUUCUACUAAAGAUUUCCGUGCAGGGGAACAACAAGAGUUAUCCUAAAUUUAAGGGAGUGGCGGCCUAGUGGUUAGG
This 114-nucleotide small nuclear RNA is filed under the name Cyprinodon variegatus (sheepshead minnow). RNAcentral describes it as "U5 spliceosomal RNA (ENSCVAG00000003667.1)". The stretch from base 2 to 103 matches the Rfam family "U5 spliceosomal RNA". From Rfam's summary of the family: U5 RNA is a component of both types of known spliceosome. The precise function of this molecule is unknown, though it is known that the 5' loop is required for splice site selection and p220 binding, and that both the 3' stem-loop and the Sm site are important for Sm protein binding and cap methylation. Lineage: Eukaryota; Metazoa; Chordata; Actinopteri; Cyprinodontiformes; Cyprinodontidae. The record is from RNAcentral.